Small nucleolar RNA from Lathyrus oleraceus (garden pea), 117 nucleotides. RefSeq annotates it as small nucleolar RNA Z107/R87. The transcript has a single exon. NCBI's taxonomy places the organism in Eukaryota, Viridiplantae, Streptophyta, Magnoliopsida, Fabales, Fabaceae. The record is from RefSeq and is a predicted model, not a curated record.
GAUCACAGUGAUGACCACAUAAAAUUCAAGCUCAACAGACCGGAAUGCAGGGUUCCUCUCUCUCUCUCUAUUGGGAGGAUACUUUGCGUGUCGAUAACCCCGCUGAACUGAGUGAUC